RNAcentral lists this transfer RNA (65 nucleotides) under Trigonopterus porg. Its description in RNAcentral is "tRNA-Val". Lineage: Eukaryota; Metazoa; Arthropoda; Insecta; Coleoptera; Curculionidae. The record is from RNAcentral.
CAGGCUGUAGCUUAUAAAGCGUUUUAUUUACAUUAAGAAGAUUACUUGGGUUUAGUAUGGCUUGA